CUACGGGUGGCAGCAGCUGCGAAUUUUUUACAAUGCGCGAAAGCGUGAUAAAGCGAGCCAAAGUGAUUAUCUUUUAGAUAUUCUUUUCUUCAGUGUAAAAAACUGGAGGAAUAAGGACUGGGAAAGACCGGUGCCAGCCGCCGCGGUAAUACCGGCAGUUCGAGUGGCAUCCACUAUUAUUGGGUCUAAAACAUCCGUAGCUUGUUUAUUAAGUCUUUUGUGAAAUCUUAUGUCUCAAGCAUAAGGCUUGCAGAAGAUACUGGUAGACUAGAGACCGGUAGACGUAAGGAGUACGGACAAGGUAGUGGUAAAAUACGUUAAUCUUGUUUGGACUAACAAUUAGCGAAGGCACCUUACGAGGACGGAUCUGACAGUGAGGGAUGAAGGCCAGGGGCGCAAAACGGAUUAGAUACCCUCGUAGUC
Molecule: ribosomal RNA, 423 nt
Filed under: uncultured archaeon
Lineage: Archaea
Description: partial 16S ribosomal RNA
Rfam family: Archaeal small subunit ribosomal RNA
Source: RNAcentral